UGACAGUGUGUGCCCCCCCCAGAAACGGU
RNAcentral lists this small RNA (29 nucleotides) under Bombyx mori (domestic silkworm). RNAcentral's name for it is "ovarian small RNA-31426". Lineage: Eukaryota; Metazoa; Arthropoda; Insecta; Lepidoptera; Bombycidae. The record is from RNAcentral.